This is a long non-coding RNA of Symphalangus syndactylus (siamang), 1310 nucleotides long. RefSeq lists it as uncharacterized. NCBI's taxonomy places the organism in Eukaryota, Metazoa, Chordata, Mammalia, Primates, Hylobatidae. The record is from RefSeq and is a predicted model, not a curated record.
UCUCUACUUCCUCGCCUCUACUCCUACACGCUGAGACUGACCGUAUAACAUUUCCGAUUUUCUUUGAUUUGUGCUAUUGUUUUUCUUAUAGUUAAGGGAAAUGUGAAAUAUUAUCGUACCUUUGUCUUUCAAAAUUUAGAAAAAUGAAAAAUAGACCAAAGUAAGUUUAUUGAAGACAAACAGGCCUUGGGCCGCUGCCUCUGUCUCUCCUGCAUUCCCCACUGCAACUGCAGCCCACAUUCACAACCAAAGCCAAACCUGUGCGAACUGAAGCACCACAGAACUUCUUUUAGGAAAGCAGAAUGAAAACCUCCUCGGUAUAACCAUGCAAUUAUGGAAGAUGACGUUACCAGCAGCCCUGGGGGAUGACACAGACGGCCCAGAUGGAUGGCUGAAGAUUAAAGGAGAGGAAGAGUGAUCCUGGGGAACUCUUCAUUUUAAGUAAAUUGAAGAUUGCCAGAAAUUCCUUACUAUUUCUCCCAUCGAAAUAGGGAAGCAAAUUCACCUCACCUUGAAUGUGGGCUCCUUUUAUUGACUUCUUGUCCAACAGAAGGUGGGAGAAAAAAAAACAACAUUAUGUUCUUGGACUUCCAAGACUAGGUCAUAUGAAUCCUUGAAGCUUCUUUCCAGCUCUCUUGGAACAUUUUCUCAGUGAGACCCGAGAUGCCAUGUAAGUCUAACAGCCACCCCACUGCUGUACUGGGGAAGACACAUGGAGGUGUUCUGAUGGACAGCUCCUGCCUGGUCCAGAAUUCCAGAUCUCCUGCCAAGAUGCUAGGAAAGCGAGAAUAGCCCUCUUGGAUCUUCCAGACCAGUGCAUCUGCCAGCUAAGUGUUAGUGUGAAUUCUAGAAAUGCUAUGUUGAAAGGAAAGCUCCAUGGGUAAAUACGCUUCUGCUAAUAAGUGGGAUACCAGAACUGCUGUUAGCAGCUGUCAGGUGGAAGUGGUUCUCAUGUGUCAGAUUCUAGUGGAAGUUUUCAGUGUCUCUUUUCCUUAUAGGCUUAAUAUGUUUCUCUACUGCUCCCAGCAGAGGUUCUCAGCAUACUCCAAAGAACACUGACUUUGAUAUCGUGCCGAUCAGGUUUCGAAUUCACUAAUUUCCAUUUAUAAUCUGUAUAACAUCAAAUCCUGUUCCAAUGUUUCUGUCAUUCAGCUUUGUCAUCUCUCCACACAGAAAAACACCCACCCAUGGUCAUCCCACCUCUGCUGCCUAAACACUAUGUUAAUGUUACGUGGCUUCCCCAUGCUAUGCACUGUCUGUAAAAUAGGGAUAGUAUCACCUUCCUCUGGAUGCAUUGUGCAAAUUCAAUG